Molecule: long non-coding RNA, 342 nt
Filed under: Elaeis guineensis (African oil palm)
Lineage: Eukaryota; Viridiplantae; Streptophyta; Magnoliopsida; Arecales; Arecaceae
Description: long non-coding RNA (EGUI_LNC065367)
Source: RNAcentral
UUUAUUGAUUAAUUUUGAAGACAAACGGAAAGGAAAUAUGGCGACAAAAGAAAGACACAAGGUCGGAGGUCUCAGACCUCGGGGGCAGGGGGUGGAGAACUCGGUGCGGGGGGUGCGACUGCGGUGGCGGCGGACGAAGGGCCGGCCUCGUCUUCAGACUCCUCCAGAAAGCCGAGAUCAAGGUCGGGGUAUCUGCUGGCCACCCUCUCUCGGCAGAGCUCGAACCCCUUGGUGAAUGCCUCCAGGCCGAACUGGACGUUCAGUUCCCUCAUCUCCGCGGAGGCCUUGAACUCCUCCACCGCAAGGGUCUUGGCCUCCGAGACCAGAACCGGAGUUUGCUCG